GAAAACUGGCUUAUGGUAGGUCUAGUGGGCUGAAUGUCAGUCCUCCAAAAGAUACGGCCAUGUGCUAGUCCCCAGAACUUGUAGAUAUUUUCAUAUAUGCAGAAGAUGUGCUUAAAUGAAGGAUCCUGAGAGGAGAGAAUACCCUGCGUAGGUGGGCCCUAAAUCUAGACACAUGUCUCCCUAUAAGAAGAGACAGGGGGAGUUUAGACACAGAUGCUGAGAAGAGGGCGAGGUGAUGUGAAGAUGCAAACAAACUGGAAUGAUGCAGCCUCAAGCCAAGGAAUGCGGGCGACCGCCAGCAGCAGAAGCAAACAGCGGAAUCCUCCCUAAAGCCUCUGAAGGGAGCACAGUUCUGCGGACACCUGGGUUUUGGAUUUCUGACCUCCAGAACUUAGAAUACAUGUCUGCUAUUUUAAUCCAUCAAAUUUAUAGUAAUUUGUUAUAGCAGCCACAGGAAGCUUAUCUGCACGGAGAGCUGGCUUCAGACACACCUGGCCUGGGACCCCAGCUCCUCCCAGAGGCGGGAUCUACUGCAAAUGACUUCACCUUCCUGAGAAUCUGACUCCUUAUCUGUGACAGGAAGAACUUCUUUACCUCUGAGAAAUGCUCUGGAGGUGAAAGUGAUUAGCAGGCUUAACAGUGACUGGAUGCGUGCCCGGCACACAGUCCGCGCCCAUAGGUAUUAAUGUCUCUCUCUUUUCCUCUGCUUCAUCCGAGUCACCUUGGAGAAAUAAGGUAGGCUAGUCUCUCUAGCCUUUCUCUCUCCCGAGUGUCUCCCAGGUCUGGCUACCUUCAUGAGGUCCGGUAGAACAUGAAAAGGAGAGUCA
Odocoileus virginianus texanus is the source of this 827-nucleotide non-coding RNA. Lineage: Eukaryota; Metazoa; Chordata; Mammalia; Artiodactyla; Cervidae. The record is from RefSeq and is a predicted model, not a curated record.